RNAcentral lists this long non-coding RNA (710 nucleotides) under Salvia miltiorrhiza (redroot sage). RNAcentral's name for it is "long non-coding RNA (SMIL_LNC000159)". The record is from RNAcentral. Lineage: Eukaryota; Viridiplantae; Streptophyta; Magnoliopsida; Lamiales; Lamiaceae.
UAGGAGGGAAGGGUCGAUUGCCCUGUUUCCAUCAAGUCAGUAGGUUGACGGCGAACUUCGUCGAUUCCGGACACAGCACGGCGGCGCAUCGGACCGAAGCCGUGGCGAGCUCGCCAAUUUCCAGAAAAAUAAUGGAGAAUUAGCACCCUCGGCGGCCUGACGAGCAGCGGACGCCGCUGCGAGUGAAGCGGCGCGGUGAAUCUCGCCGGCCUUCCAGUUGCAGUGGCGGCAGUCUUCGUUUCUCUGGUAGAGCUAGGGCUCAACGGAGAGGCGAUUUCCGGCCAAGAAAAGCGCGGCGGCGCUGGAAGGUUUAACAGCAGCAGGAAGCGGCGGUGUCGAAAGAGUAGCAGCGGCGACCUUCCCGAUUUCAGGGCUCGACGUCAGAGCGGGAUUUAUGAGGAUGGGAGACGAACGGCGCUGCUUCCAGGAGGCGACCGCCCGUCGGAUUCCAGAUGGAGGUGCGACAUCGGCGAUGACUUCCUUAGAUUCAGGGCUCGAUUGGGUUCUGCGGAUGGACCAAAGGAGCAGAAAGAGAACGGUGCCGGGGUUAGACGCGUCAACAGACGACGCCGGCCGAAGCAAGCGACGGCUGAACGGCUGGAGAAGGCAGCCGACCAGAUUUAGCGGAGGAGAAUAAGCCGAUCGGCUUUGUGAGAAAGGUGAGAAUGUGUUUUGAGUUAGAGAGAGAGACCGACAUUUUGAGAGAGAGA